Molecule: long non-coding RNA, 3195 nt
Organism: Mesocricetus auratus (golden hamster)
Lineage: Eukaryota; Metazoa; Chordata; Mammalia; Rodentia; Cricetidae
Exons: 3
Source: RefSeq, a predicted model, not a curated record
UCACUAAGGGCAUCUGUCGUGUAUAGCACCUGACACCACACUGGUACAUUGUAGGGAGAGAUCCAGGUACCUGUGGCGCUGACCACGCCCGUUUUGGGUGUGGCCACAGGUGUGUGGAAUAAAGGGCUGAGGAGAGGGGCACUCACUCUCUUUCAGGGUUCUGGUCUGGUCUUGAAAGGUUGCAGAGACUAACCUGGGCUUUCGGUUUCUCAAGGGCAUGCCAGCAGCCCAACCUGACCCAGGCAAUUUCUCACUGAGACUCUCUUCCCAGGUGAUUCUAAACGUGGCAGCUUGCCGAUUAACCGCAGCACUAACCUUCACAGAGUAGGAGGCCAUGACGACGCAGAUGCUGUAGGAACGUGUAUGUGAAUCCCACCUGGAAUGCCAAAUUGCAUUUAGUCAUCAUGCCUCCUUCGGCUGCUCUUGGCCAUGAACAUUUCUCAAGCUUGUCUUAUUUUUGACAGCCUCAAGAGUUUUAAGAGACCUGAUCAGCCUUGCCGGGUCAAGCCCCGCCUUUGCAGGUGCGGAUCAAAUUCCCCACCCACUGAGCCCCAAACUCUGUGAACAGGUUGAAAGAGGCAAUCCAAAGAUGAAAAGGAGAAGCACCUGUUAGAGCUGGGCGAGAUGAAACAUCACCCAGCGAUGGCCAGUGUGGAAGAAGAAAGGGCUCUGUGACUACAAGCCUCUAUUUCCCAUUUUGCCCUCAACUACUUUUAGUACUGGUCUGUUCGGAUCCCUCCGCUAAGAAGCAAAACGGGAUUCUAAGAGAAUCCAGAGGCCAUUUUCUGUCUCUUUGGAGUCUUUGUUGGGAUUGCUGGGUUUCCCAUAGAUUUGCUCUUAGUGCUUUGAGAGCUAGGAGAGCUCAUCUUAAAAUCAACUCGGUGUUCAAGCCAGAAACCCGUUGCGAAAGAGAGAAAGGCGACUUGGAAGCUCGGACACACGUGACUACUCUCAUCCCUUUGAAGGGUGGCGCGUGUGAGCCUGCACGAGCUCCGUCCUCUGGCAUCCGCUGUACCUCCAGGGUACCCGAGGAAGCCCACGCUCCCUGUCCUCUCUCCUUCGUCUUCCUCCCACAACCCAUGUCCUGGCCCCACUAACAGCCAGAUCCUGUCGGGGACUAAGAGCACGUGCUUCUCCACCAGGGUAAAGCUGUCUCCAAGUGCUCCGCCGGCCGGCUGCCAGCUGUUCUCCCCACCCCCGUUCUAAGUUCCCACAGCUGUUGAGUUGGGCCCUGCUCUGAGCUGGAAUGUUCUGUGAAGAGAUGCAGAAGCAGUUCCAUUUAUUCAGGGAAGAAAGGAGACAUGACUGGGAGGGGCACCCAUCUGCCACAUGCUGGAGACCAGUCAGACCACACGUGAAUGGACACACAUGCUAGGAGGGCAGAACCCCAGGGAAGGGGUUUCAUUCCAGAAGGUUCCAAGAGCAAGGGCGAGCAGAGGACACGGGCGAUUGUGAGCAACAACAGGGUGGAGUAAGGAACCAGGAGGCCGUAUUUCCAGCAGCACUCGCUGGGAAAACUUUUCAUCCUGACAAGGCCCCAAGGCCACCACCCCACUCCAAAACCUGUGGAGGAAUGUACCUCAUACCAAGGACAAGUUAAUAGUUAAUCCGUUUUAUUCUGCCACUCUUCUACCAAAUGCCCAAUGCUGGCGCCAGAGUGAUGAACGACGGGAGCGUUCCCAGUCUCCUUCAACAUGCAACACACCGGGAACCAAACACGGGAGCUAUUGGAAACGGGUGUGGGCUUCGCGGAAACCGUGGUACCACGUUGGAAUCGGCACAGAAGGAAAGCGGGAAGCCGCUCUGGGUCUUCUCCAUCAGGCCAAUGACCACAAGCUAUUCUUCUUUCCGGGUCUACGCACACAGUUGCUCAGGGUGCCGAGAGACGUGUGGCCAGGCUAGACUGCAGCAGCCUAAACCGUGCAAAACAAGAGUGGGAGCGACCAAACAUUGGAAGGAAAACCCACCCGUGCAGUUGAGGGGACUCGGUGGCCCACAGUCACCUGUCUUCUGGAAGCCAAUCUAGCUCCCCAGGCAGUCCACCUGCCGCGGAAGACCUUGCUGUUGUUUCCAGGAAAUGAGAAAUGCACUCUGUGUGGCCCUGAACCUCACUCAAGGUAGGGGGCCUCUACUGCUCUGGCCAAAGGUUUGGGAGCUAAAAAGAGAGCCGCGGAGAUGACGGUAAACCAGGGGGCUGGCACAAUUCCACGUGGCGACGAAGGAGCCCUCGGGCACUGGGUCCAUCUCCAAACAAGAAACAAAGAGAAAGAAUUCAUGACCACAGAACCCCUUCCAAGCCCUCACCAGUACCCUGGCUGAACCUAGCUAUCGGCCCACAGGAAAAAGGAAGGCAGGAGGCUCGUUGGCUGCCAAGUCACAGCUGUGCCUCGGCUUCUGGCACGGGUGGCACUGUACGGGGAUCCAGGGCGGAAUGCAAAUAUUUUGGUUCCCGCUGGAGAACUAUGACACGGCUGUCAGUCAAGCCUCCACGCUGGGAGCAGGAGAGCUGCGGAAGGUUUUCAGUAGCGCUGGGCGCAGAUCCAUGCGGAUCUGGAGAUGCAGAGGGAGAGGUGACAGAGACGGGCAGCCCCCCCCCAGGUGUGAUGAAAGGUGAGGGAUGACUGAAAGGAGGGGCAGCAGGCGCCUUAGGAAGCGAGACAUCACCUGCUCGACACGCCUUGGUCCCUUGCACGUGGAAGGGGAGUCAGCUUCCCUGCAAGGGAAGGGCUGGGGUAGAUUUCACUUGCAGUGCAAGCACAAGAACUUCUGGUGAGUCUCGCUGUGCAAAACUAGAGGAGAUCACCUUCCAAGGCUGGGAGCGCCGGGCAGCACUCAAGCAGGCUUCCAUGAGAGCGGCUGCAGCAGUCACGGUCCAGCCGAAGCCUGUUAUUACAGUAGGCUUUCACUCCGCAUGGCUUUCACCUUCUAAGUCAACCUGAGACACGCUCAUACUUAAAGCUCAGCCCAAGUCCUAUCUCCAAGGCGCUGAGUGCUUUUACACACACACACACACACACACACACACACACACACACACACACACACAAGCUGAGUCAUGUUCAUACUUAAAGCUCAGCCCAAGUCCUAUCUCCAAGGCACUGAGUGCUUUUACACACACACACACACACACACACACACACACACAGGCGCGCAUGCAUGCGUACACAGGCACGUGCACACAUGCACACAACGCAU